GGGGGGAGUAACAUCCGGAAACGGGUGCUAAUACCGCAUAGUUUUCUUGAUCGCAUGAUUGAGAAAGGAAAGACGGCCUUUGUGCUGUCGCUUAUGGAUGGACCCGCGGCGUAUUAGUUAGUUGGUGAGGUAACGGCUCACCAAGACGAUGAUACGUAGCCGACCUGAGAGGGUGAUCGGCCACAUUGGGACUGAGACACGGCCCAAACUCCUACGGGAGGCAGCAGUAGGGAAUCUUCCGCAAUGGACGAAAGUCUGACGGAGCAACGCCGCGUGAGUGAAGAAAAGGGUUUUCGGAUCGUAAAACUCUGUUGUCAGAGAAGAACAAGUUGGAGAGUAACUGCUCCAGCCUUGACGGUAUCUGACCAGAAAGCCACGGCUAACUACGUGCCAGCCGCCGC
This 401-nucleotide ribosomal RNA is filed under the name uncultured bacterium. Its description in RNAcentral is "bacterial SSU rRNA". It matches the Rfam family "Bacterial small subunit ribosomal RNA", at positions 136 to 518 of the family's 1533-position model. The record is from RNAcentral.